RNAcentral lists this ribosomal RNA (919 nucleotides) under uncultured archaeon. RNAcentral's name for it is "bacterial SSU rRNA". It matches the Rfam family "Archaeal small subunit ribosomal RNA", at positions 1 to 922 of the family's 1478-position model. The record is from RNAcentral.
UUCCGGUUGAUCCUGCCAGAGGCCAUUGCUAUUGGGAUCCGAUUUAGCCAUGCUAGUCGCACGAGUUCAGACUCGUGGCGAAUAGCUCAGUAACACGUGGCCAAACUACCCUUCGGAACACGAUACCCUCGGGAAACUGAGGCUAAUAGUGUAUCUCAUACCACCACUGGAAUGAGUGGUAUGUCAAACGCUCCGGCGCCGAAGGAUGUGGCUGCGGCCGAUUAGGUAGACGGUGGGGUAACGGCCCACCGUGCCAAUAAUCGGUACGGGUCAUGAGAGUGAGAACCCGGAGACGGAAUCUGAGACAAGAUUCCGGGCCCUACGGGGCGCAGCAGGCGCGAAACCUUUACACUGCACGCCAGUGCGAUAGGGGGAUCCCAAGUGCACAGGCAUAGCGCCUGUGCUUUUCGGUACCGUAAGGUGGUACCAGAAUAAGGGCUGGGCAAGACCGGUGCCAGCCGCCGCGGUAAUACCGGCAGCCCAAGUGAUGGCCGAUCUUAUUGGGCCUAAAGCGUCCGUAGCUGGCCGCGCAAGUCCAUCGGGAAAUCCACCUGCUCAACAGGUGGGCGCCCGGUAGAAACUGCGUGGCUUGGGACCGGAAGGCGCGACGGGUACGUCCGGGGUAGGAGUGAAAUCCCGUAAUCCUGGACGGACCGCCGAUGGCGAAAGCACGUCGCGAGAACGGAUCCGACAGUGAGGGACGAAAGCCAGGGUCUCGAACCGGAUUAGAUACCCGGGUAGUCCUGGCCGUAAACAAUGUCUGCUAGGUGUGGCUCCCACUACGAGUGGGUGCUGUGCCGUAGGGAAGCCGCUAAGCAGACCGCCUGGGAAGUACGUCCGCAAGGAUGAAACUUAAAGGAAUUGGCGGGGGAGCACUACAACCGGAGGAGCCUGCGGUUUAAUUGGACUCAACGCCGGA